This 414-nucleotide ribosomal RNA is filed under the name uncultured microorganism. RNAcentral's name for it is "bacterial SSU rRNA". It matches the Rfam family "Archaeal small subunit ribosomal RNA", at positions 459 to 872 of the family's 1478-position model. The record is from RNAcentral.
CAGCCGCCGCGGUAAUACCGGCGGCCCGAGUGGCGGUCACUAUUAUUGGGCUUAAAGCGUCCGUAGCCGGGUUGGGAAGUCCUCCGGGAAAUCUGGCCGCUUAACGGUCAGAAUGCCGGAGGAUACUCCCAGCCUAGGGAGCGGGGGAGGCCGAGGGUAUUCCCGGAGUAGGGGUGAAAUCCUAUAAUCCCGGGAGGACCACCUGUGGCGAAGGCGCUCGGCUGGAACGCGUCCGACGGUGAGGGACGAAGGCCAGGGGAGCAAACCGGAUUAGAUGCCCGGGUAGUCCUGGCUGUAAAGGAUGCGGGCUAGGUGUCGGGUGAGCUUCGAGCUCGCCCGGUGCCGUAGGGAAGCCGUUAAGCCCGCCGCCUGGGGAGUACGGCCGCAAGGCUGAAACUUAAAGGAAUUGGCGGG